AGGGAUUGCCUUAGUAACGGCGAGUGAAGCGGCAAUAGCUCAAAUUUGAAAGCUGGCGUCUUCGACGUCCGCGUUGUAAUUUGUAGAGGAUGCUUCGGCGAAGACUCCUGCCUAAGUCCCCUGGAACGGGGCGUCAUAGAGGGUGAGAAUCCCGUAUGUGGCGGGCAGUCUAAGCCAUGUGAAGCUCCUUCGACGAGUCGAGUUGUUUGGGAAUGCAGCUCUAAAUGGGAGGUAAAUUUCUUCUAAAGCUAAAUAUUGGCCAGAGACCGAUAGCGCACAAGUAGAGUGAUCGAAAGAUGAAAAGCACUUUGGAAAGAGAGUUAAAAAGUACGUGAAAUUGUUGAAAGGGAAGCGCUUGCAACCAGACUCGCUCGUAGUUGCUCAGCCGGCCUCUUGGCCGGUGUACUCUUCUACGAUCGGGCCAGCAUCAGUUCGGGCGGCAGGAUAAAGGUGUCGGGAAUGUAGCACCCUUCGGGGUGUGUUAUAGCCCGGCGCGGAAUGCUGCCAGCCUGGACUGAGGAUCUCGCUUCGGCAAGGAUGCUGGCGUAAUGGUUGUAAGCGGCCCGUCUUGAAACACGGACCAAGGAGUCUAACAUCUAUGCGAGUGUUUGGGUGUCAAACCCAUGCGCGUAAUGAAAGUGAACGGAGGUGGGAACCCCUCACGGGGUGCACCAUCGACCGAUCCUGAUGUCUUCGGAUGGAUUUGAGUAAGAGCAUAGCUGUUGGGACCCGAAAGAUGGUGAACUAUGCCUGAAUAGGGUGAAGCCAGAGGAAACUCUGGUGGAGGCUCGCAGCGGUUCUGACGUGCAAAUCGAUCGUCAAAUUUGGGUAUAGGGGCGAAAGACUAAUCGAA
This 853-nucleotide ribosomal RNA is filed under the name Guignardia sp. ELV3.23. RNAcentral describes it as "eukaryotic LSU rRNA". It matches the Rfam family "Eukaryotic large subunit ribosomal RNA", at positions 70 to 939 of the family's 3401-position model. Lineage: Eukaryota; Fungi; Ascomycota; Dothideomycetes; Botryosphaeriales; Phyllostictaceae. The record is from RNAcentral.